AAAAUUUCUUCUCAUCCAAUUUUUUUUUUUUUUUUUUUUUAUUUAAAUUCUCUUCCAACCAACUUCUACUCGUUCAUUUUUCUAUUGACAUUUGUGUUUAACUCAUACCUCGUAAUAAUCACGUUUACCAAUUCGACGACCCUCAGCAAUUGACUCUCUGAGCCACAUGAAAUCAUUUUCUUAUUUUUUUUUCUAACUUUUUUGAAACUCCUCAGCACGUUCCCACAACUUUUUAGCAGUGUCAACAAAGCAUUCCUCAUCGGAGCGAUACUUCAAUCCAAUCGACCUUGAGUAAGAACCAUCCAAUACCAUGAAUCCAGGAUUGAUAGACGCUUUUUCAGGCUUGGAAAUAACUUGUUGCUUGUCAGGAAAGUGAUUACGAAGUGUGCUGCAAAUUUCCUCUGAAGUGAAUAAUCCCUUGCAUGCAAUCAUUCGACCGUUCGAUAAUUUUUUGUUUUCUAGCGCUAAUACAUGAGCCGCUGCUAAAUCGCGAACAUCCACGUAAUAAUAAUAAGGUGAAGAAGGAUUGGCUUUGGAACCAUUGAUCAAGCUCCAUAUCACCAAAUUCGAUGUGUUUAGUGAGUCCAUGUUCUUCAUAGGUUGAAUUGGCGGUCCAAACACAUAAGGAGGAUUGACUGUGCAAAUAUCAAACGAAGAGCGCUUUUGCGCUACAUAAUCUCUAGCGGCCCUUUCGGCACAAGUCUUUGACGCACAAUACGCAAAGGUUCCGUCUUUCGUACUUAUUCCCUGCUCAUACGUGAUGGGAUUCCAAUCCUUCUCCGUAUACACUUUACCGCUAUUAACGUCGAUUUCGAGAUUAAUAAUGGCGGCAAAAGAGGAAGUAAUCACAAUGCGCUUCACACUUUUCUCACCAUGAGCUGCCUCUAAGACACUUAGUGUGCCUUUAACUGCUGGAUCCAAGAGUUGUGUUUUGUUGUCAGUAAUAUUAUCAACAAACAAUGGAGACGCUACAUGACAAACGUAAUCCACAUUUUUUAUGGCAUCUUCGAAUGCAUUAGGAUCGACAAUUCCUUGACAAUUACAAAUUCCACUUCAUCCUUAAAAUCAGGAUUCAAUCGAACAAGUUCAUUCGCUUUUUCCAUGCUUCUCACCGUACCGCGCACAUGAUAUCCAGCUUGUAGCAGUUGUUUAGCAACAUGAGCUCCAAUAAAUCCUGUAAUCCCGGUGACAAGAACCAGUUUUUGGCUCAUUAUGGGUGAUUAACGAUUUUAGCAAUAAUACAAUUAUAACCUUGUUACAAUAAA
This is a non-coding RNA of Schizosaccharomyces pombe (fission yeast), 1265 nucleotides long. The record is from the annotation of a GenBank genome assembly. Lineage: Eukaryota; Fungi; Ascomycota; Schizosaccharomycetes; Schizosaccharomycetales; Schizosaccharomycetaceae.